RNAcentral lists this ribosomal RNA (526 nucleotides) under uncultured bacterium. Its description in RNAcentral is "bacterial SSU rRNA". It matches the Rfam family "Bacterial small subunit ribosomal RNA", at positions 984 to 1509 of the family's 1533-position model. The record is from RNAcentral.
ACAUCCAGAGAAUUUAGCAGAGAUGCUUUAGUGCCUUCGGGAACUCUGAGACAGGUGCUGCAUGGCUGUCGUCAGCUCGUGUUGUGAAAUGUUGGGUUAAGUCCCGNAACGAGCGCAACCCUUAUCCUUUGUUGCCAGCACGUAAUGGUGGGAACUCAAAGGAGACUGCCGGUGAUAAACCGGAGGAAGGUGGGGAUGACGUCAAGUCAUCAUGGCCCUUACGAGUAGGGCUACGCACGUGCUACAAUGGCGCAUACAAAGAGAAGCGACCUCGCGAGAGCAAGCGGACCUCAUAAAGUGCGUCGUAGUCCGGAUUGGAGUCUGCAACUCGACUCCAUGAAGUCGGAAUCGCUAGUAAUCGUAAAUCAGAAUGUUACGGUGAAUACGUUCCCGGGCCUUGUACACACCGCCCGUCACACCAUGGGAGUGGGUUGCAAAAGAAGUAGAUAGCUUAACCUUCGGGAGGGCGUUUACCACUUUGUGAUUCAUGACUGGGGUGAAGUCGUAACAAGGUAAGCGUAGUGCU